RNAcentral lists this unclassified non-coding RNA (365 nucleotides) under uncultured bacterium. RNAcentral's name for it is "contains 16S-23S intergenic spacer region". The record is from RNAcentral.
UCCCGGUUGGCCCGGGCGGUCCCGUGUGAAAAUUUCAACACACGGCAAGGGUUGCGCUCGUUGCGGGACUUAACCCAACAUCUCACGACACGAGCUGACGACGGCCAUGCAACACCUGUCACUAGAUUCCCGAAGGCACUCCGCUGUUUCCAGCAGAUUCCUAGGAUGUCAAGCCUUGGAUAAGGUUCUGCGCGUAGCGUCGAAUUAAACCACAUGCUCCACCGCUUGUGCGGCUCCCCGUCAAUUCCUUUGAGUUUUAAGCUUGCGCUCGUACUCCCCAGGCGGCAGGCUUAACGCGUUAGCUUCUCAGCCCAGAGGGUCGAUACUCCGAACUAACAGCCUGCAUCGUUUACGGCGUGGACUAC